RNAcentral lists this long non-coding RNA (212 nucleotides) under Elaeis guineensis (African oil palm). RNAcentral describes it as "long non-coding RNA (EGUI_LNC056398)". Lineage: Eukaryota; Viridiplantae; Streptophyta; Magnoliopsida; Arecales; Arecaceae. The record is from RNAcentral.
CCUGCUGUUGGGGAAGCUCGACCAUUAACGAAGUUCGGAGGAAGUUCGGAGUAAAGUCGAUCGUGGCUGGAAGAAGUCUGGAAGAGAUUCGGAGAAUAGUUGAUCACUGUAGAAAAUUGGCUGAUAGCAGAGUUCAGAGAGCAUUUGGAGCAGUCUGGUAGAUGAAUGGAGAAGCUCAUGGUUGGAAAAGCCCGGAUGCCAUUAGGGAAGCU